Long non-coding RNA from Passer montanus (Eurasian tree sparrow), 2803 nucleotides. RefSeq lists it as uncharacterized. Lineage: Eukaryota; Metazoa; Chordata; Aves; Passeriformes; Passeridae. The transcript has 2 exons. The record is from RefSeq and is a predicted model, not a curated record.
GCGGGACGGGCGGGACCCGAGCGGUCGGAGGGACGGGCCCGCGGCGGAGCAGGGCGGCCGGUCGCCGGGCACGGGCCUUGCCUAGGCAGAAUCGCUCACGACGCCAAGUUCAAAACCUGGAAUUAUCGCAGAAAUGAAGGAGUUUUCACCUAAAUUUUGAGAGAGUACCUACAUGAAACAUUACUGAAUGGUAAUGAGCCACUAUGUCUUGCAUCUAAGUGAGGGCCAUGGUAAAUCCAAGACCAGUACUACAUUCUUUGAAGACCAGUCUUUGUCUUCAUGUCUUAAGUUUCUUUACCGAAACAGUAAGAUCAUCAGCUGUGCACCAGAAAUAGUACCACCAUGUGAAAAAUUCCAAGUGCUCCUAUGCCCCUUCCCAUUCCACCAGUUCAGACUCCCAUUGCUGUGAUAAAGCAGACCAGCAUUUCCCAUCUCCCAAGCAUGGUGCUGGAUAUUCCAAUGGCAUACAGCACCAGGUGGGCCAACAGUGAUAAAAUUCACCAAUACUAGGGGUUUCCUAAGAGUCAUUAAUAAUUGACCCAGACAGCAUAGGUCAUAAAACAUCAAUUAAAUUCAAUUUUAAAAAUGCCUAACAACUUUUCUAUGCUAAUUCUGUUGUACCAACCUCUACUACAAGUUAGAAAAAUUAGUUUCAUAAGCUGAGUAUUAAUUUCAAAUACUGUUAUACUGUGAAAGGGUAAAGACAGCUACUGCUGCUAAACUACAUACUUAAAUAGCUGCAAAACAGAUACCACAAUUUCAGCUUGUAAGAAAUCAGGUGAGUAACCACCACCGUACAUCCAAAGGUGUCCCUUAAGCACUGAACAUGGCUUCUUCUAUAGACUGCCACCUGCACAGCCUUGAGUGAUGGUCAAUGCUACAGCAUACAGAGAAAGUAAUCUGCCAAAGUGGCUGAUCCAGGGACUGAUUUUGUGGAAUUUCAAUAAUUUGAGAUGUGGACACUCACCUGUACAGGUUUUCAACCCUCCCUUCCAAUACUGUUUUAAGGCUACCCCUUCCAUAGACAGCAGCCAUGUUCUUUGGAGAACUUUAUUAAAAUAUAUCCAAGAAGUAAUCAAACAUUUUCUAAUGAGCCAGGAGAGAACUGAAGUGAGGAAAACACCUGUACAGAGGACAGUGCUGUAAUUUUUUGUUUACAUGCUUUAUUUCAAUGUUUCACAGUUUAAUCAUUGUCUACAAAAAUAUACUUCUGAAACUCUGAGUCCUCUAUAAAAAAAGCUGGUCAGCAGCAGUGACCCCGACAAACAGAAUGUACCUUGGGAUAGUGUGAGCACCUCCUGUAAGCAGAUUAGUGUGGCUAGGGAACUCCUACCUCACCCUGGGAGACUUUUGUUCUUUGGGAUUAAAGCUCUGCACUAGUUCUGAAGGAAGGCAUUAAAAAAAAAAGUCACUCCACUUCUGUAUACUGCACUAAGCUUGGGAGGGGGACCUGCAAGUUCAGUGUAUCACACAACAAGAGUGCUAAAAAAGCACUUGGCACUCAGGGAAAGACGACCUCAGGAUGCUUUAGUACCAGUAAAUUUUUCUUCGAGCUAUCUGUUCAGAACAGCCUUUGUCUGGUGAUAAUAGGUUCAGGCUGUCAGCAGAGGUACAAACAGCAUACAAGCAGAGUAAUACUAUAAAUGCAAAGAGAGUCCUUCUCUGAGGACAAGAGGAUGGUUCUGUUCAUUUUUACGUCAACACUUUCUGCUGUGGCUUUAACCAAGAGGAAAACUAGCAUCAUAUCCAAGAGCAAGUGUACAUUGUGUUGGAUAGAACAGAGCCACUAUCAAUACUGUCAGCUUCAACUCCUUGGUACCCAUAACUGUAAAUAUUUCUUACAUCAUCAAUCAUUUAAUUCCUAUGCUUACGAGUCACUAGUGUAUCUAGCCACCAAAAAUAUGAACUGAGAAACACAUGUUUCCCCCAAAUGAAUUUUUUUCUACUCUCCUCUGCUCAGUUAUUUCACUGUCUAUAAAGAUACUUGCAGUAACGAAGAAAAAAAAAUAAAUUGGCUCUUCUAAAAAAAUAAAUCUAUCUUGCAUUGUGCUCUAGAAAAGACAAGGUCAAUGUACUCUGAUCCUCAAAGCUCGUAAGUAGAAGCCCCUUACCACAAAAUAAUCUCAGUCCUGAACCUCUAAGAAGGGCAGGAAUUUUCAGCAGCAAAUAAAGUGUAGUUAUUGACAGACUGCUUCCCUAAUGUGGUAAUAGAAGAUGAGCUUUCUGAAAACUUUUCCACACCUGCCUGUCAGAAGAUCUUUCUGAGCCAGCAGCUUGUGAAAUCUGAAUUUCCUAGAGAGUACAGAAUUCAGGAGAGUGCUGAUGGUUAUUUUAGGUACACCUGCAAUCAAUGGGCUUCUGAGCUCCAGGUUUUUGUUCAGAAAAAGUUCUCCUGUAACUCAUGCCUACCACCAGUCUCAGUCUGAUCUGCUAGACCUGAGCAGCCAAGGAGGUAUAUGAAUUUGAAGUAGAAUCAGAAUCAUCCACAAAAACACAGAAGCCAAGAAUCUUCACUGAGACAAAUACCUUAUCAAAAAAAGAUACUCAGCACUAGAAAACUAGUAUUAUCUCACUAAUACUAAACAGCUAAAGUGUAAAAUUUGUAAGAAAACACCUGAAGUUUACUUCUUGACUAUUUUCCUUUCUUAAAUUGCUGGGGGGAGUGGAGAAGGGGAGGAGAAAGGAAUGAAUCACUGUAUUGGUAGUAAGCCACUAUAGAGAAGGCAGUAUUGGAAAAAAACAUUUAAACCAGAAAAAAAAAACAUCUGAGAACUUAGUUAUUCUGAAAGCUUUCCUUACCUUC